ACAGAGGGUGCAAACGUUGUUCGGAAUUACUGGGCGUAAAGCGAGUGUAGGCGGUCUCGUCAGUCGGGUGUGAAAGCCCCGGGCUCAACCCGGGAAGUGCACUCGAUACUGCGAGGCUAGAGUACUGGAGAGGUUGGUGGAAUUCUCGGUGUAGAGGUGAAAUUCGUAGAUAUCGAGAGGAACACCGGUGGCGAAGGCGGCCAACUGGACGGCUACUGACGCUGAGACGCGACAGCGUGGGGAGCAAACAGGA
RNAcentral lists this ribosomal RNA (253 nucleotides) under uncultured prokaryote. Its description in RNAcentral is "partial 16S ribosomal RNA". It matches the Rfam family "Bacterial small subunit ribosomal RNA", at positions 525 to 777 of the family's 1533-position model. The record is from RNAcentral.